CAGAACAUAACUCACAAAAACCAAACCAAAGUCCACAAUUCUCAAACAAAGUGAGCAGCAGUAAGUUGGUGUAAAGACCUGAAGACAGGAUGGAUGUGGUUCUACUUCCUGGUUUCACUCAGGACCCAAACAGCAGCAGAUUCCAGGAUGAUGAUGAUGCCGGGAUCAUCGCUGACAUCCUCGUCCUGGAUGCAUCCCAGUCAGAAGGUGAUUGGUUUUGUGGUUCUGGUCCCACCUGCAGCACAAACCGUCAUUCCUCUUUCCUCCAGCCUCAUCAUGACAUACGACGCCACGGCAACACGGCUGAACCAGAGGUGGGCCAUCAGCACCUGACAGCCGGCCUCUCCGUGGAGUUGGUUUGGGGAGCUGUAUAUUCCAAUUACCGGCCGGAUCCCCGAGCUAUGGAGAGUGUACAGAGGGAGUCACAUUCAAUUACAGUCUGCGUCCGCUGUGGAUUCCUGUGUUUUUUACCUGUCCUCAUGCAUAAAGCAGACACAGCAGUUCCCAUGUGCGCCGGUGUCAGCGCGUGUGAACGGGGGGGGCUCAGCUGCUUAUGCGGAUGCAUUUAGCGCCGCUUCCUUCUUUACAUUCCCGGCGCUGGCGUGAGAUCCUGAAGCAGCCUGGAACCGCCGGUCAGCAGUCUGCCCCACAUAACGGCGUCUUAAGGCAGACAAACAGUCAACAUAUGCUAAUGUAUUCAAGAGGAGUGAAAACAGAAAUGCAUUAGGCUCCACAUUUGGACCCGCGCAUCAUUAUCGGACUUUUGAUUUCCUCAUUUUCUGACUUGUUGUGAAAAUAUCAAGGACUUUCUAUUAA
Long non-coding RNA from Oryzias melastigma (Indian medaka), 816 nucleotides. RefSeq lists it as uncharacterized. The transcript has 3 exons. The record is from RefSeq and is a predicted model, not a curated record. Lineage: Eukaryota; Metazoa; Chordata; Actinopteri; Beloniformes; Adrianichthyidae.